UGAGUACGAGACGCUACGGCGUUGAAGCAGUGUAUGUCAGACUUCCAAGAAAAGCUCGCAAUGUCAUAAACAAAUAAUGCCUGUACCAUAACCGACACAGGUGGGUAGGUAGAGUAUACUGAGGGGCGCGAGAUAACUCUCUCUAAGGAACUCGGCAAAAUGACUCCGUAACUUCGGGAGAAGGAGUGCCUUAUUUUUAUAAGGUUGCAAUAACAAGAUCCAAGCAACUGUUUACCAAAAACACAGGUCUCCGCUAAGUCGUAAGACGAUGUAUGGGGGCUGACGCCUGCCCAGUGCCAGAAGGUUAAAGAAGUUAGUUAGCAAUAGCGAAGCUGAUAACUGAAGCCCUGGUGAACGGCGGCCGUAACUAUAACGGUCCUAAGGUAGCGAAAUUCCUUGUCGGGUAAGUUCCGACCCGCACGAAAGGCGUAAUGAUUUGGAUGCUGUCUCGGAGAGGGGCUCGGUGAAAUAGACUUGUCUGUGAAGAUGCGGACUACCUGCACCAGGACAGAAAGACCCUAUGAAGCUUUACUGUAACUUGAAAUUGAAAUUGGACUUUACUUGCGCAGUAUAGGUGGGAGGCGUUGAUUUUAUUCUUGCGGGAAUUUAGGAGCCAUCAGUGAGAUACCACUCUGGUAAUGUUAGAUUUCUAACUUUGUAUCAUAAUCUGGUCAAAGAACAGUUUCAGGCGGGCAGUUUGACUGGGGCGGUCGCCUCCCAAACGGUAACGGAGGCGUACAAAGGUUUCCUCUGAACGUGUAGAAAUCGUAUCUAGAGUGUAAAGGCAUAAGGAAGCUUGACUGUGAGACCUACAAGUCGAGCAGGGACGAAAGUCGGUCUUAGUGAUCUGACGAUGCUGAGUGGAAAGGCCGUCACUCAACGGAUAAAAGUUACUCUAGCAUAACAGGCUGAUCUCCCCCAAGAGUUCACAUCGACGGGGAGGUUUGGCACCUCGAUGUCGGCUCAUCGCAUCCUGGGGCGGUAGUACGUCCCAAGGGUUGGGCUGUUCGCCCAUGAAAGCGGAACGCGAGCUGGGUUCAGAACGUCGUGAGACAGUUCGGUCCAUAUCCGGUGUAGGCGUUAGAAUAUUGAGAGGAUCCUUCUUUAGUACGAGAGGACCGAGAAGGACAUACCUCUGGUGUACCAGUUAUCGUGCCAACGGUAAACGCUGGGUAGCUAUGUAUGGAAAGGAUAACCGCUGAAAGCAUCUAAGUGGGAAGCCUACCUCAAGAUAAG
RNAcentral lists this ribosomal RNA (1236 nucleotides) under metagenome. RNAcentral describes it as "bacterial LSU rRNA". It matches the Rfam family "Bacterial large subunit ribosomal RNA", at positions 1564 to 2808 of the family's 2925-position model. The record is from RNAcentral.